UACAAAAGAAAAAAAAAAAAAAAACCUAGCCACCACCAAAACAUUCUCUCUGCCGCUCGUCUCUACCGCCGGACAUUGAAGCAAUCGCAUACUUGUCUACCACCAGUAAGAAAUCCUUUGCUGGACACCAUCUCAAGUCGGUUUCUUGUGGUUUAACAUCUUCACCAUCUUCUUCCCAAACUAGAUUUAUAAAAGAAGAGGUUGAGAUUAUCACCCAUGAUGUGGCACGACACGAGAGAGGCUACGGAUAAUGAUAUAUAUAUUUUGUUGAUGCCGAAGUUUUAUAGCGAGUUAGGUAUUUCGUUAGUUUAGCUUUGUGUAUAGAUUAUAUGUAGUUUGUUAUGCAUUCAACAAAGUAUUGUAAUUUGACGGGUUUAUUUCCGAAUUGCAUGUGUAUUGGGUUGAUUUGAAAAUGUUCUAUUGGUGUAUAUAAGCUUGAUUUGUACAGGUUUGGUAUAUGUAAGCUUGAUGU
Molecule: long non-coding RNA, 472 nt
Filed under: Helianthus annuus (common sunflower)
Lineage: Eukaryota; Viridiplantae; Streptophyta; Magnoliopsida; Asterales; Asteraceae
Source: RNAcentral